RNAcentral lists this long non-coding RNA (528 nucleotides) under Ostreococcus sp. 'lucimarinus'. RNAcentral's name for it is "long non-coding RNA (OLUC_LNC000033)". Lineage: Eukaryota; Viridiplantae; Chlorophyta; Mamiellophyceae; Mamiellales; Bathycoccaceae. The record is from RNAcentral.
GGCGAACGAAGGCGAUACAAACGGUGAACAAUGCGUAACAAAGCGAGCGAGCGAACGAGCGGGCGAACGAAUAACGCGCGACGCGACGCGACGCGCGCGCGAGAUCGCGCGCUCACAGACCGUCGCCCUCGGCCCAACACUGGUUCAAGAAUUCGACCAUCUCGCGAAGCGGAAUCGGCGCCUUGAACGCGCGAUCGACGCAAACUCUGUCGACGCCGAGAAACGAGUCGUACGACGCGUUUCUCGGAAUCUGACGCUUCGUCGCGCGAUCGCGAUCGACGUCGCCCUCCGCGCGCCGCCGCCGUCCCGGAUUGGUCCACAUCUCCCUCCGUUUCAACCACAACAACAACGCUCGAUUCGUCGCGACGCCGUUGAUUCGGUUGAACCGGUACGUCUUCGCGUCGAUCCCAAAAUCCGGUUCUCGCCCCGACCCCGACCCCGAAUCAUCGCUCGACCGCACCGUCGUCGCGCUUUCGCUCGCGCGUCGCCGAUGGUUCCCGUUCGCGCCCCCAUCCGCUCGCGCGUUCG